GCGCGAAGAACCUUACCUGGGCUUGACAUGUGCCUGACGAUCCCGGAAACGGGGUUUCCCUUCGGGGCGGGUUCACAGGUGGUGCAUGGUCGUCGUCAGCUCGUGUCGUGAGAUGUUGGGUUAAGUCCCGCAACGAGCGCAACCCUCGCCGCAUGUUGCCAGCGGGUUAUGCCGGGAACUCAUGCGGGACCGCCGGGGUCAACUCGGAGGAAGGUGGGGAUGACGUCANAUCAUCAUGCCCCUUACGUUCAGGGCUUCACGCAUGCUACAAUGGCCGGUACAACGCGAUGCGACAUGGUGACAUGGGGCGGAUCGCUGAAAACCGGUCUCAGUUCGGAUCGCAGUCUGCAACUCGACUGCGUGAAGGCGGAGUCGCUAGUAAUCGCGGAUCAGCAACGCCGCGGUGAAUGCGUUCCCGGGCCUUGUACACACCGCCCGUCAAGUCAUGAAAGUGGGCAGCACCCGAAGCCGGUGGCCCAACCGUUUUUCGCGGGGGGAGCCCGUCUAAGGUGAGGCUCGUGAUUGGGACUAAGUCGUAACAAGGUA
Molecule: ribosomal RNA, 546 nt
Filed under: Bifidobacterium sp. MW-222
Lineage: Bacteria; Bacillati; Actinomycetota; Actinomycetes; Bifidobacteriales; Bifidobacteriaceae
Description: bacterial SSU rRNA
Rfam family: Bacterial small subunit ribosomal RNA
Source: RNAcentral